RNAcentral lists this ribosomal RNA (253 nucleotides) under uncultured bacterium. Its description in RNAcentral is "partial 16S ribosomal RNA". It matches the Rfam family "Bacterial small subunit ribosomal RNA", at positions 524 to 776 of the family's 1533-position model. The record is from RNAcentral.
UACGAGGGGGGCAAGCGUUGUUCGGAAUUAUUGGGCGUAAAGAGCUCGUAGGCGGUUCGUCACGUCGGCUGUGAAAUCCCGAGGCUCAACCUCGGGUCUGCAGUCGAUACGGGCGGACUUGAGUACUGCAGGGGAGACUGGAAUUCCUGGUGUAGCGGUGAAAUGCGCAGAUAUCAGGAGGAACACCGGUGGCGAAGGCGGGUCUCUGGGCCGAUACUGACGCUGAGGAGCGAAAGCGUGGGGAGCGAACAGG